Molecule: long non-coding RNA, 1795 nt
Organism: Cygnus atratus (black swan)
Lineage: Eukaryota; Metazoa; Chordata; Aves; Anseriformes; Anatidae
Exons: 3
Source: RefSeq, a predicted model, not a curated record
CGGGGCGGGGCGGGCGUCCCGAGGGGCCGAGGGCGCCCAGCCGGGGACGGAGAGGACCUGGUGCUCAGAUAUCCCAGUCUGGACAAGGAGCUCAUUUUCUUGCUGGUUUAUAAACAUGUGCUAUGCCAUAAAAGAAGAAGUAUAGUCUGGAGCGUCAGUCUGUGCUGAAAUACACCAAGUCUUCUCCACUACCUCGUACAGUUCUGCAUUCAUGAAAGCCAUGUUAACCAUGUCUGACAAAAACAAUUUAGAAAACAAUCAACUGCUUCAGCUUACAAGAAGAACUAAAUAGUGCUCAACUCCAAGAUAAUAAGAGUUGUUAAAACAAAACAAAACAAAACAAUGCUAUCCCUAGUUCUUCUCUUGGUUUGGCAGAAUGCCAAAUUUGCAUGCUGUGGGGGUUUAAGAAGCUUUAAAUUAUAAAGGACUAACUAUGUUUUAGCUAGUGCUUUUUAUCCAUGAUCAGGGUUCCACACUCUGGUACAGUGUAUAAGAUUUAUAUUCUAAGUAUAUUAAUCAUUACCGUUGGAAGGCUGAGAGGCACAAACUUCACAUGCGGUUGGCAAUGUUAUGAAAUCAGUUAAGACAAGAUUUUUAAGAGCAUAGUGUCUCACUGGGGCUGUGCUGCAUGGGGCAAGAGGCCCUUUGUUAUUAGUUACGUUGAAUUUUGACAAUGAAUUAGUUUGCUCUUAAGGGGGCUGAGGAUGGCAUUGUACUCCGCUCUUGCAAUGUAAAUUCAGGAAAAAGUAAAACUUUUGCUUUCUACUUUAAAUUUUAUGGCCCCCUUUUGAGUUGUACCUAGGUGGGAUUAUUGUAAGGAGUGUUUUCUCAGCAGCCAAAUUACUACUACUGCAGUGAAACAAUUCUGUUCCAAGCCUAGGAAGUACAGAUAAGAAAAAAAAUAGAAACAUUAAUCUAAACUUUGUGGUUAAAUAAUUCUGUAGUUGCAAUUCCUCCUUCCUUUUUUUUUUUUUUAAUUAUUUAUUGUUUUGGUGAGCUAAUUCAUCCAUAUCGGGUGUUAUAUCAGUUCUGAAUAGGCUGAAGUCGCCGUAGUUUAUAACUCUCUCACAGGGGUUUCUGAACCUUUUAAAUCUAUGGUAAGAGAGGUGGUGGUAGUGUAGCUACAUGCUAGCUGUACGUGAAUGGAGAACUGUUAUGCAGGAUACAGUACAGGCUCAAAUAACAUUAGCAGGGAAAGUCCAAGGAAGGACCCUGGGAAUAGGUCACUGUUUUCAAUCUUUCCAGUUUCAACACAGGCAGAAGCUGUUUCAUGCUGCACAGUGGAGGAGAGGGUAUGGAGGGUAUGGAGGGUUGUGCAGUCCUCAGGGAACUUAUGAUUUGGCAGGUGUAUUCCCCCUUCACAAAUAUGCUCCUAGCCUGUAGUUCCUGGCAUCUUGCCUGUUUUUCUGGUUUGAAAAGGGAGCGGAGAAUUUUUAUGUAUAAAAGUACCUCUGUCUUACAGGUCACCUCAAAUAGUCAUGGAGCAGCUGCCACGCUUUCUAUUUGGCCUUAAGCCUCACACUGCGUGACAGACAAACUUUUUAUCUGAAAGCACCAGGGAAUAUAACAUAUAUGUGUAUAUAUCUGUAUAUAUAUAUUUGAAAUAAACACUUGCACUAAAUAGGAAAUAUUGUUCAGAUACAAAUCAGAGUUUGUCCUAAAGAGGAAGAAAAAUACUUGGUGAAAUACUUGGUGAAAAAGAUAUUUGAAAGAUGUUUGGCUUUCUAUUUUCACUUUCUACAUUAAUAAUCAUUCAAAGAUUUUUGGUACUGAUUAUAGUGUUUCCUCUUCCCUU